RNAcentral lists this ribosomal RNA (429 nucleotides) under Chloroflexota bacterium. RNAcentral's name for it is "Chloroflexi bacterium partial 16S ribosomal RNA". It matches the Rfam family "Bacterial small subunit ribosomal RNA", at positions 355 to 776 of the family's 1533-position model. Lineage: Bacteria; Bacillati; Chloroflexota. The record is from RNAcentral.
UGGGGAAUAUUGCACAAUGGGCGCAAGCCUGAUGCAGCCAUGCCGCGUGUAUGAAGAAGGCCUUCGGGUUGUAAAGUACUUUCAGCGGGGAGGAAGGGAGUAAAGUUAAUACCUUUGCUCAUUGACGUUACCCGCAGAAGAAGCACCGGCUAACUCCGUGCCAGCAGCCGCGGUAAUACGGAGGGUGCAAGCGUUAAUCGGAAUUACUGGGCGUAAAGCGCACGCAGGCGGUCUGUCAAGUCGGAUGUGAAAUCCCCGGGCUUAACCUGGGAACUGCAUUCGAAACUGGCAGGCUAGAGUCUUGUAGAGGGGGGUAGAAUUCCAUGUGUAGCGGUGAAAUGCGUAGAGAUGUGGAGGAAUACCGGUGGCGAAGGCGGCCCCCUGGACAAAGACUGACGCUCAGGUGCGAAAGCGUGGGGAGCAAACAGG